Molecule: long non-coding RNA, 1361 nt
Organism: Cyprinus carpio carpio
Lineage: Eukaryota; Metazoa; Chordata; Actinopteri; Cypriniformes; Cyprinidae
Source: Ensembl
GAGGUGACAGGGCCGUAUGGUGGAUCUCCUGCCAGUGACAGGCUGUCAUUUGGAGAUGUGUGCCAUGUGGCUGUCUCUCAGCCUGUCUUUGAGCUGAAGGAUGACCCCUCCUGCUCACUGGGGCUUCACCGGCCAUGCCAUUCCUGUCUCUCAGCUUACACGUCUGACAGGAGACAUGACGUCCGAGACACAUCGACUCCAUCUUUAGCUCUUGAGAACUUCAUGAGAGCUUUCUGACCUGCUGCACAGUCACAGUCACAGUCUGCUAUGACAGCUGCACAUCCUCAGAACGGAAAGCCCUUCAGCGGGUAGUCAAAACUGCCCAGCGCGUCACUGAACUCGGCUACUGGCCAUCGAAGACCUGAACAACAGUCGCUGCCGGCAAAGAGCUCACCAGAUCAUCAGGGAUUCCAUCCACCGCAGCUACAGUCUGUUUUCUUCCCUGCCAUCUGGAAGCCACAUAGACACAUACAAACACGGACCACAAGGCUAAAGAACAUUUUCAUCCCUUGAGGUGUUGCAUAAGCUAAACUCUAAUCUCUCUUUCACUGUCAUCUAACUUAGUCUAACAAAUCCUCAAACCAAAUACCAAACCACAAAAUACUGAUGCUUAAUUUUACUAUUAAUAUAUAUAUAUAUAUAUAUAUAUAUAUAUAUAUAUAUAUAUAUAUAUAUAUAUAUAUAUAUAUAUAUAUAUAUAUACGCACAUAAUACUGCAUAUUGAUAAAUCUUCAUCCCACUUUUUAACUCUAGUUGAAAGUUAAAAGGAAUAACUUUUAAUAAUAAAGUAAGUUAAGGAAUGAAGUUGUUUGUUGCAAAACAUAAAUGAAAAAAAUUGCUUAAUGCUUCUGAAAUGAGAUUAAUCAUUUUAGAGACAAGCGUGGUUCCGUAUUGCUUUGCAUAUGGCCCUAGAGCAACAGCAAUGAAAAAAACCUAGAGGAAGUGCUCUUCGUUACAUAUGAUCUCUCAAAUUAAGUGCUUUUUAAACUAUGUUCUAGACUAUAUUCAUUGACGAAAGACACAAAAGCAAAUGGGUUAAGAAAGAUAACAAGGAACAGGAAAAUAAGAUCAUAUAUGUGUGUGUAUAUAUAUAUAUAUAUAUAUAUAUAUAUAUAUAUAUAUAUAUAUACACACACACACACACACAGUAUAUAUGAUGAAUUAAACAUUAAUGAGACAAAUUAUUAAUCAUCAUGAACAAAAUUAAUGCAGAGUGAGAUAGUCAAACAGGGUGUCUUUUUUUAAAGAUGUAAGCACAUUGUCCUCCCCUGCUGCAAUAUCAGAGUAGCUGGACAUAUUUGCAUGCUCAGCGCUGUGUGUCUGCAGUAAUUCAUCAUUGGUCUCUGAGGUAUUGAAAGCAU